AAGGACGCCGGCGGAGAAAAA
This 21-nucleotide small RNA is filed under the name Arabidopsis thaliana (thale cress). Its description in RNAcentral is "ATSL073890". The record is from RNAcentral. Lineage: Eukaryota; Viridiplantae; Streptophyta; Magnoliopsida; Brassicales; Brassicaceae.